UCUUCCCUCUUUCUUCGUGCCUAAUACAUGCAAGUCGAGCGAACAGACGAGGAGCUUGCUCCUCUGACGUUAGCGGCGGACGGGUGAGUAACACGUGGAUAACCUACCUAUAAGACUGGGAUAACUUCGGGAAACCGGAGCUAAUACCGGAUAAUAUAUUGAACCGCAUGGUUCAAUAGUGAAAGACGGUUUUGCUGUCACUUAUAGAUGGAUCCGCGCCGCAUUAGCUAGUUGGUAAGGUAACGGCUUACCAAGGCAACGAUGCGUAGCCGACCUGAGAGGGUGAUCGGCCACACUGGAACGUAGACACGGUCCAGACUCCUACGGGAGGCAGCAGUAGGGAAUCUUCCGCAAUGGGCGAAAGCCUGACGGAGCAACGCCGCGUGAGUGAUGAAGGUCUUCGGAUCGUAAAACUCUGUUAUUAGGGAAGAACAAAUGUGUAAGUAACUAUGCACGUCUUGACGGUACCUAAUCAGAAAGCCACGGCUAACUACGUG
Molecule: ribosomal RNA, 497 nt
Filed under: uncultured bacterium
Lineage: Bacteria
Description: partial 16S ribosomal RNA
Rfam family: Bacterial small subunit ribosomal RNA
Source: RNAcentral